CCUAGGAAUCUGCCUGGUAGUGGGGGACAACGUGAUGCUUUCGAAAGGAACGCUAAUACCGCAUACGUCCUACGGGAGAAAGCAGGGGACCUUCGGGCCUUGCGCUAUCAGAUGAGCCUAGGUCGGAUUAGCUAGUUGGUGGGGUAAUGGCUCACCAAGGCGACGAUCCGUAACUGGUCUGAGAGGAUGAUCAGUCACACUGGAACUGAGACACGGUCCAGACUCCUACGGGAGGCAGCAGUGGGGAAUAUUGGACAAUGGGCGAAAGCCUGAUCCAGCCAUGCCGCGUGUGUGAAGAAGGUCUUCGGAUUGUAAAGCACUUUAAGUUGGGAGGAAGGGCAGUAAGCUAAUACCUUGCUGUUUUGACGUUACCGACAGAAUAAGCACCGGCUAACUCUGUGCCAGCAGCCGCGGUAAUACAGAGGGUGCAAGCGUUAGCUGAAAUUACUGGGCGUAAAGCGCGCGUAGGUGGUUCGUUAAGUUGGAUGUGAAAGCCCCGGGCUCAACCUGGGAACUGCAUCCAAAACUGGCGAGCUAGAGUACGGUAGAGGGUGGUGGAAUUUCCUGUGUAGCGGUGAAAUGCGUAGAUAUAGGAAGGAACACCAGUGGCGAAGGCGACCACCUGGACUGAUACUGACACUGAGGUGCGAAAGCGUGGGGAGCAAACAUGCUUAGAUACCCUGGUAGUCCACGCCGUAAACGAUGUCAACUAGCCGUUGGAAUCCUUGAGAUUUUAGUGGCGCAGCUAACGCAUUAAGUUGACCGCCUGGGGAGUACGGCCGCAAGGUUAAAACUCAAAUGAAUUGACGGGGGCCCGCACAAGCGGUGAGCUGAGUUGGUUUAAUUCGAAGCAACGCGAAGAACCUAACCAGGCCUUUGACAUGCAGAGAACUUUCCAGAGAUGGAUGCUGAUCGAUGCUA
This 921-nucleotide ribosomal RNA is filed under the name Pseudomonas entomophila. RNAcentral's name for it is "bacterial SSU rRNA". It matches the Rfam family "Bacterial small subunit ribosomal RNA", at positions 116 to 1024 of the family's 1533-position model. Lineage: Bacteria; Pseudomonadati; Pseudomonadota; Gammaproteobacteria; Pseudomonadales; Pseudomonadaceae. The record is from RNAcentral.